AGCUAGGGGAGCAAACGGGAUUAGAUACCCCGGUAGUCCUAGCUGUAAACGAUGUGGACUUGGCGUUGGUGGGGUUAAAUCCAUCAGUGCCGUAGCUAACGCGAUAAGUCCACCGCCUGGGGACUACGUUCGCAAGAUUAAAACUCAAAGGAAUUGGCGGGGGCCCGCACAAGCAGCGGAGCGUGUGGUUUAAUUCGAUGCUACACGAAGAACCUUACCCGGGUUUGACAUCCAGGUGGUAGGGAGCCGAAAGGUGACCGACCCUUCGGGGAGCCUGGACAGGUGCUGCAUGGCUGUCGUCAGCUCGUGUCGUGAGAUGUCCGGUUAAGUCCGGUAACGAGCGCAACCCUUGCUGUAUGUUACAAGUGUCAUACAGGACUGCCGGUUUAGAACCGGAGGAAGGCGGGGAUGACGUCAAGUCAGCAUGGCCUUUAUAUCCGGGGCUACACACACGCUACAAUGGCCAGUACAACAGGUUGCAAAACCGCGAGGUGGAGCCAAUCCCCAAAACUGGUCUCAGUUCAGAUUGCAGGCUGCAACUCGCCUGCAUGAAGUCGGAGUUGCUAGUAACCGCGCGUCAGCUAUAGUGCGGUGAAUACGUUCUCGGGCCUUGCACACACCGCCCGUCACGUCAUGGAAGCUGGCAACACCUGAAGCCGGUAUCCUAACCGCAAGGAUGGAGCCGUCGAAGGUGGGGCUGGUGACUGGGACGAAGUCGUAACAAGGUAACCGUA
This 734-nucleotide ribosomal RNA is filed under the name uncultured bacterium. Its description in RNAcentral is "bacterial SSU rRNA". It matches the Rfam family "Bacterial small subunit ribosomal RNA", at positions 758 to 1504 of the family's 1533-position model. The record is from RNAcentral.